Pseudoliparis swirei is the source of this 404-nucleotide long non-coding RNA. RefSeq lists it as uncharacterized. NCBI's taxonomy places the organism in Eukaryota, Metazoa, Chordata, Actinopteri, Perciformes, Liparidae. The record is from RefSeq and is a predicted model, not a curated record. The transcript has 2 exons.
GCCAGCAAUCAGUUCACACGGAAAGAAACAGAUUGUCAUCGUGGGCGAUGUCCAUCUGAGGCUUUGUUGUCACACGUCAUCCAGAAUAAUAAUAAACAACGAUGUCUUUCGUCAUCCAACUGCCAUGACGACGUGUCUGAUAACUCAGACUAUAAGUGCUCCUGGGAAAGAGGAACGCUGUGUUCACCGUCAGCGUGACGCUCGGCAGCUUGUGGAGGUCAAAAAGCCCGAAAGACGAUUCAGAAAGCAGCUCCGACAUCAUGAGACGAAACCGACCGGCGGCGUGUCGAGCGGCGGGCUGACGUCUUCGUUGGCGUGCGACCUUGGCCGAGGUCUCGGGACACGCCUUCUUUUUGACUUCAAGUACACAAAAUGGCGUAAAAAAUAAACAUAAUUGAAGCGCU